CGAUCACAUGUUGACGUGAAUGGGCUAUAACCCGUCCUAUUGGAUGGGCCAGGCCCAGGAAAGUCCCCGGGCCCAUAACCGCAGAGAUGCGGGCUCAGAAAUGAGUUAUGCUUCAUGGGCUGGAAUCCAAAACUCAUAAAUGGGUUUGGGCUGAGACGAGGUGGAGCCUAUGAUUCCGGCCCAGAAGCCCAAUUGGCUAAUAAAACAGUUAUUCACGUGGUCUAGUUAAAAACCUAGAUUAACUGAACGGGGCUUACAGUCAUGUGGUC
This 269-nucleotide RNase MRP RNA is filed under the name Solanum lycopersicum (tomato). RNAcentral's name for it is "RNase MRP". It matches the Rfam family "RNase MRP". From Rfam's summary of the family: RNase MRP is an enzymatically active ribonucleoprotein with two distinct roles in eukaryotes. In mitochondria it plays a direct role in the initiation of mitochondrial DNA replication. In the nucleus it is involved in precursor rRNA processing, where it cleaves the internal transcribed spacer 1 between 18S and 5.8S rRNAs. The record is from Rfam by way of RNAcentral. Lineage: Eukaryota; Viridiplantae; Streptophyta; Magnoliopsida; Solanales; Solanaceae.